CAAGGCUAACUUUUAACGUUUUUAAUGCAGUUGUACCUUUGAAGAAGUUUUGUGUACUGUCCAAAUGUUUGUCCCUUUUAAUUUAUAUAAUUUCACUUCAUGGCAACAAGACUUGAAGUAUUGUCACAAUGUAAGGCCUAGCGUUCACGGGUUACUUUAAUCACAAUGACUGUUUCCUCACUCAUAACAAAUCUGUGGGAAUCUAUGGAGAUGCAUCCAUGUUACGAGGUCACAAUUGGGUGACAUGUACGCCAAGCGGUGAAUAAGCCCAUGACAAAACUGUCACUGUCGCCUUCGGUUUUCGUAGCAGUGCGCGCACGAGUGAUAAAAUUGUCAUGCUUCAUCGUCGUUUGCAUUUGCCGUCCGAUUCUCGACUUUGGUGCACGCGAUAUAGCAACAUCAUUUACAUAAAAAAUGAAUAUCCGAGAAGACGAUAUUGAUUGAUGACAUUAUUAUUGAGGAAGUGGAAAAGGAGACAAGCACUCUAUUAUAAAAAAACUAAAAGACUACUCUGACAUUGCUUAAUUUGAAAAUUAAAACGUGGGAAGAGAUAAGUGAAAAAAUAUUUAGCAAUGUUUGGGUAAAUUAGUCGAAACAAGAAAACACUGAAGUGGGUAAAGUUCUACAAAGGUGGAUAUGCAUAAGCAGAGGACAUUGACUCAGAAAAAAAAUAAUGCUGAUGAAGAGAAACAACAGCGAGGCCAAUGUUUCAGAAAAAAAAUACGAAAACAAUAUCUUAACAAGAUAGGCUCUUCAUGUAGCUCAGCCGAAUUCAUCUCCACAAAACUUACCAUCUAAUAAAACCCGUUACUGUAUGAAGACUCCUCAGCCUCAAUUAUUCAAUCAUAUAUUUUAGAGUUUGCAGCAGGGAAUCUUUAUAGUACACAAUAAAGAUUUCCAAGGUUAUACAUUUGUCAGAAAUUCAGUAACAACUCGGGAAAUUAUUAAAUUAAUCCUUGCUUUUAAAUUUAAAAUAAUGUUGUAUUUUUAUUAAAAUAAAUAUCAUCUAAAA
Molecule: long non-coding RNA, 1012 nt
Organism: Pieris rapae (cabbage white)
Lineage: Eukaryota; Metazoa; Arthropoda; Insecta; Lepidoptera; Pieridae
Exons: 2
Source: RefSeq, a predicted model, not a curated record